This 30-nucleotide non-coding RNA is filed under the name Mus musculus (house mouse). Lineage: Eukaryota; Metazoa; Chordata; Mammalia; Rodentia; Muridae. The record is from RNAcentral.
UCAGAAGGAAUGUUCUGGAUACAGAAACUC